This 299-nucleotide unclassified non-coding RNA is filed under the name uncultured fungus. RNAcentral's name for it is "partial contains 5.8S ribosomal RNA, internal transcribed spacer 2, and large subunit ribosomal RNA". The stretch from base 1 to 52 matches the Rfam family "5.8S ribosomal RNA", at positions 103 to 154 of the family's 154-position model. Lineage: Eukaryota; Fungi. The record is from RNAcentral.
AACGCACCUUGCGCUCCCUGGUAUUCCGGGGAGCAUGCCUGUUUGAGUGUCAUGAACUCUUCAACCCAUCAGUUUCUAGUGAACUGUGUGGUGUUUGGAUUUUGAGCGUUGCUAGUCUGACUAGCUCGUUCGUAAUACAUUAGCAUCUCUAAUUCGAAUUCGGAUUGACUCAGUGUAAUAGACUAUUCGCUGAGGACACUUUUAUUAGUGGCCGGACUAGAAACCAGUAGAAGCUCCCAACUAUUGUAGUCAUUUCUAUUUUAGACCUCAGAUCAGGCAGGAUUACCCGCUGAACUUAA